Molecule: non-coding RNA, 76 nt
Filed under: uncultured Cellulosilyticum sp.
Lineage: Bacteria; Bacillati; Bacillota; Clostridia; Lachnospirales; Cellulosilyticaceae
Description: ZMP/ZTP riboswitch
Rfam family: ZMP/ZTP riboswitch aptamer (pfl RNA motif)
About the family: Previously known as pfl RNA. ZMP is also known as AICAR.
Source: RNAcentral
GUUCUGUAUGACUGGCGGAUAAGUGGGAGUACCCACAGGGAGUACAGAUAAUUAGAAGCCGACCGCCUGGGCACCA